CUUGACAAUAUGUGUGGGUUUAUUUUUGAGCUCUUCAUUCUGUUCCAUUAGUCUAUGUGUCUGCUUUUAUGCCAGUACCAUAGUGCUUCAAAGCAUACAGUUUUGUAAUAU
Long non-coding RNA from Leopardus geoffroyi (Geoffroy's cat), 111 nucleotides. RefSeq lists it as uncharacterized. The transcript has 3 exons. The record is from RefSeq and is a predicted model, not a curated record. Lineage: Eukaryota; Metazoa; Chordata; Mammalia; Carnivora; Felidae.